CACGGCGCGAUUAUGAGAGGUAC
RNAcentral lists this non-coding RNA (23 nucleotides) under Arabidopsis thaliana (thale cress). Lineage: Eukaryota; Viridiplantae; Streptophyta; Magnoliopsida; Brassicales; Brassicaceae. The record is from RNAcentral.